AUUGAACGCUGGCGGCAUGCCUUACACAUGCAAGUCGAACGGUAACAGCACUUCGGUGGCUGACGAGUGGCGAACGGGUGAGUAAUACAUCGGAACGUGCCCGAGAGUGGGGGAUAACGCAGCGAAAGCUGUGCUAAUACCGCAUACGAUCUACGGAUGAAAGCAGGGGACCGCAAGGCCUUGCGCUCAUGGAGCGGCCGAUGGCAGAUUAGGUAGUUGGUGGGAUAAAAGCUUACCAAGCCGACGAUCUGUAGCUGGUCUGAGAGGACGACCAGCCACACUGGGACUGAGACACGGCCCAGACUCCUACGGGAGGCAGCAGUGGGGAAUUUUGGACAAUGGGGGAAACCCUGAUCCAGCCAUGCCGCGUGCAGGAUGAAGGCCUUCGGUUGUAAACUGCUUUGUACGGAACGAAAGGUACUUCUAAUAAAGAAGGGCGUCAUGACGGUACCGUAAGAAUAAGCACCGGCUAACUACGUGCCAGCAGCCGC
Molecule: ribosomal RNA, 491 nt
Filed under: uncultured bacterium
Lineage: Bacteria
Description: bacterial SSU rRNA
Rfam family: Bacterial small subunit ribosomal RNA
Source: RNAcentral